RNAcentral lists this transfer RNA (77 nucleotides) under Comamonas terrigena. Its description in RNAcentral is "tRNA-fMet(cat)". It matches the Rfam family "tRNA". From Rfam's summary of the family: Transfer RNA (tRNA) molecules are approximately 80 nucleotides in length. Lineage: Bacteria; Pseudomonadati; Pseudomonadota; Betaproteobacteria; Burkholderiales; Comamonadaceae. RNAcentral also lists the same sequence under 5 other names. The record is from RNAcentral.
CGCGAGGUGGAGCAGUCUGGUAGCUCGUCGGGCUCAUAACCCGAAGGUCGUUGGUUCAAAUCCAGCCUUCGCAACCA